UCGAUCGCUUGCGUGCGUCCGUGGCCUCGAUCGGAUUCUCGUCGGCGCCGCUCACCGAGCCGACCCGGGAACCCGAGCGCCGUCGCCGCCUCCGUCGGAGGGAAGGUAGGGUUUCCUUGAUGCUGGUUGAGUUUGUGAUUGAUUGAUUUGCUCUGGGUCUCUCUGAGCAGAGAACGGGGAUGGAGAGAGAGCUGCGCUCAGAAUUUUCUUGUGGCCCCCUUUUGUUUUUCUCCUCUCUUUUGAUGAGCUUGAUCUUUAGGGAGGUGGGUGCGAGGUGGAUUUGGUUGCUAGCGGUUUGGGCGUAGCAGGGCAAUGGCGGAGGUGAUCGGUCCGAGUCUGUACAGUUGCUGCCAUUGCCGAAACCAUGUGGCGCUCCACGACGAUGUCAUUUCCAAAAGCUUUCAGGGAAGAAACGGUCGAGCUUUUUUGUUCUCCCACGCAAUGAAUGUUAUGGUCGGACCGAAAGAGGACAGGCAGCUCAUGACCGGCCUUCACACGGUGGCUGAUGUAUACUGCUCGGAUUGCCACGACCUUCUCGGGUGGAAGUAUGAAAGGGCAUAUGUAGAAACUCAAAAGUACAAGGAAGGGAAGUUCAUUCUCGAGAAAUCAAAAAUAGUAAAGGAGAACUGGUAGUCCAACUUGUGUUCAUGGUCAUGGAUUUGGUUGGUCUCUGGACACUUCAGUUGCUCAGAUUCUCAACGAUUGUUCAUUCUUGCGAGGAUUCCCAAUUCGGUCGCGGGUCAUUUUGUUGUCUGAAUGAUAAAAGAAGUGCCGAAGAUGUUUGACAUUGUUAUUUAUGCCGGUUGCACCGGGUGAAAUGCGAGGUGGAUUGAGCUACUUCUUUGUAUGUGCGGUUGUGCUGCAUGAUACAAGCGAACGAAAGUCAAGCGAGGGGUUGACGAAGCACACAUUCUAAAGGAGCUUGUCAAAAUGCCUUGAUUACAAAACCAGUAGCAGAUGGACGUGAUCAAUGGGCUUCUCACAGCCGGUUCUUCCGCCGAUUCACGCAUAAUUGCCAUCUUCUCAGCAGUUCACUCCGUCCUCUUUUUCCCGAUUCACGAGAUUGGACUCGGGUGCUCUGUUCUGUGCUUGCCCCUCUAGUUUCGAGUUUCGCAUCUGGUCUCGUCCGACCGUGACGUGGCAUCCCGAGUAACAGGAGAAAUUAGGGUGGCUAGUAUUCUAUUGUUUUGGAGAAAGCUGUAAGUUCAAUGUACCCUCUCGUAUGCUCGAGAAACCUGUGUGAAGAGCGAGUCCCUCGUGCUCGGAAACGUUUCCCUUCAUCUGAAUGAUGAUUGCUACCGUCUCCAUAUUCAAAUGGUGCAUUGAGAAUCCUGUGAAGGAAACAAAAGAGACCAAGACUGCCGAAGGUGGUAUGAACAUAUCCUAGUCUAUGAGCGCAAUAAAAGGACGGUGGUCGGUGGUGGUUGGUGGGUGGCGUUAAGGGGGGCGCUGUCGGAGUUGGCGGUGGAUAUUGUGUUGGUGGGGCUCGGUGCCAAUCGGAAUAUCAGAUGGCUGAUGGUGAUUUUUUUGUUUUAUAUUUGCUUUUUAAAAUUUUGAUUACUCUUAUAAUUAUCCACGAUUUAGGUGGAGGUUGAUGCCUUAGGGUUUUUCUAUGAUUGUGGAAGCAAUCAGUUUUUGUUGGACCUAUUAUUUGGUUGUCUAGCAACAGCAUAGAAUCUAUCACAAUUUACAAA
RNA transcript from Syzygium oleosum, 1694 nucleotides. It is a transcript of the gene named protein yippee-like At4g27745, with no coding region annotated. The transcript has 4 exons. NCBI's taxonomy places the organism in Eukaryota, Viridiplantae, Streptophyta, Magnoliopsida, Myrtales, Myrtaceae. The record is from RefSeq and is a predicted model, not a curated record.